ACUUUAUUUACGUUAGUUCAUCUUUAAGUCUAACCUAGAGCAGUAUCCAUGUUUUCUUUCAAAUCCAGAGACAUGCUUAAAAAACUUCCAUUACAAUUAACAGCAUCAAAGACAGCUCAACAGCAAAAGCUUCAUGGAGCUCUCAACAGGCAGCAGUUAGAACCAGUAUCAGCCAUUGAACAAGUAAACAGUCUGAAACAACAGCUCUGCAAGUCUGAAGAACAGUGCCAACAGCAGGACCAGCAAAGGCAUAUUGUCUGGCUGAACAGCACUUCAUAGAAUUGGAAAAGGAGGCGAAGAACUUCAGACGCAAACAGAGAAAUGAUGCUCAAAUGGUAUGCAUUCUUGUAUUUGAGAUCCUGUUUGUAUUAUAUUGAGAAAUACUG
This 386-nucleotide long non-coding RNA is filed under the name Chrysemys picta bellii (western painted turtle). RNAcentral describes it as "lncRNA (ENSCPBG00000007158.1)". The record is from RNAcentral. Lineage: Eukaryota; Metazoa; Chordata; Testudines; Emydidae.